GGUUGCUUGGCCGAGUGGUUAAGGCGUGUGGGUGCUAACGAAGGCGAGAGUUCGAAUCUCACAAUCUUCA
RNAcentral lists this transfer RNA (70 nucleotides) under Salix viminalis (osier). The record is from RNAcentral. Lineage: Eukaryota; Viridiplantae; Streptophyta; Magnoliopsida; Malpighiales; Salicaceae.